Molecule: long non-coding RNA, 1157 nt
Organism: Parus major (Great Tit)
Lineage: Eukaryota; Metazoa; Chordata; Aves; Passeriformes; Paridae
Exons: 3
Source: RefSeq, a predicted model, not a curated record
GCGGGGACUGGGUGAAUUAUUGUGGGGGGGGGAGAGCUGCAGGGACUGUGCUGUGCAGCGGCCGCAGCUUCCGCUCCGUGCACGAGCGCUGGUAGUGCGUAGCCCUCAGCAAACGCGGGGGGAGCACCCCCAUCUCCCCCCCCGGGAGACCCCCGGCCUCCGCAGAGCCAUGGGCUGGAGCGGAGUACGAGAUGGCGCUGAGCAACGGGGAUUCCUUCUGGACGCGGCACCUCUCGGCUGAUGAAUUCCGUGCGGCCGCGGCCGGGGGGGGAAAGGCAAUGGGAGGGAGACUGGUGUGCAUCGAGAUCGGGGUGAAUCUUGGGAGUUAUGGGGUCUGAGAGGGCUUAUUGGGGUCCGCGUGGUCUGGAGGGGCUGAAGGGAUUGGUGUACAUCAGCGUCUGAGGGUAUAUGGGGAGUUAUGGUGGUUGGGGGUGCAUUGAGAUGGGCACGUAUAUGAGGGUCUGGAGGCUGGAGAACAUUGGCGUCUGUGGAAGUUAUACUGGGAUUUGGGGGAUCUUCAGAGAUUGGGAGGUGUCGAGGUCUGAGGGGCAUAUUGAGAUUUGGUGGGGCUGGGGGUUCUGAGUGGGUUUGGGGGGCAUUUCACAGCGAAGUAUAGGGGUUAUGGGGGGCUACAGGGGCACUUUGAAAUCAUGGGAGGUGAUGAGGGGCUUGGGAGAGUACAGGAGGUAUAAGGGUGAUGAAGUGGGGGGUAGGGGGUGUGAUGAAGGUGAGUGCCCAGCCCUCCCCACGUCCCCAUGCCAGCUGCUCCCCCUUCGUCAGCUCCCUCAUUUUCCUCCUCAUGCUCAUCGUGCUGGGCAAGUGCUUUUCCAUCACAGGGUUUGGUCUCUCAAUGGCCACAUCAGACUGGGGGGCUCCAUCAAGCUCUCUGUGUACAUGAGCGUGUACCACUCACAUCACCCUGCUCAUCUACAAGUCUCAGGGGGAUACCACCAGGGGCUGUACUGGAAGCUGAAGUGCUCCUGACUGGACAUGGGUGGCAGAAAAACUCCAUUGUCGCUGGCCUAGAGGCUCCAUGUAUCCUUGGCAUAGGUCACCUCAGGAGAGGUAUUUCAAGGACCCAAAAGGACAUCAUUGGGCUUUGGGAGAGCUGCUAUGGAGACAGCAAAAAUUAAGAUAGUUGAGUCCCUUGCUUGACC